RNAcentral lists this ribosomal RNA (450 nucleotides) under uncultured Glomeromycotina. RNAcentral's name for it is "SSU rRNA". It matches the Rfam family "Eukaryotic small subunit ribosomal RNA", at positions 569 to 1024 of the family's 1831-position model. Lineage: Eukaryota; Fungi; Glomeromycota. The record is from RNAcentral.
AGCAGCCGCGGUAAUUCCAGCUCCAAUAGCGUAUAUUAAAGUUGUUGCAGUUAAAAAGCUCGUAGUUGAAUUUCGGGGUUAGCAGGUCGGUCGUGCCAUCGGUAUGAACUGGUCUCGCUGAUCCCUCCCUCUUGACGAACUGUGAUGCCAUUAAUUUGGUGUCGCAGGGAAUCAGGACUGUUACUUUGAAAAAUUAGAGUGUUUAAAGCAGGCUCACGCUUGAAUACAUUAGCAUGGAAUAAUGAAAUAGGACGUUUGAUCCUAUUUUGUUGGCUUCUAGGAUUGACGUAAUGAUUAAUAGGGAUAGUUGGGGGCAUUAGUAUUCAAUUGUCAGAGGUGAAAUUCUUGGAUUUAUUGAAGACUAACUACUGCGAAAGCAUUUGCCAAGGAUGUUUCCAUUAAUCAAGAACGAAAGUUAGGGGAUCGAAGACGAUCAGAUACCGUCGUAGU